Molecule: ribosomal RNA, 253 nt
Filed under: uncultured bacterium
Lineage: Bacteria
Description: partial 16S ribosomal RNA
Rfam family: Bacterial small subunit ribosomal RNA
Source: RNAcentral
UACAGAGGUCUCAAGCGUUGUUCGGAUUCAUUGGGCGUAAAGGGUGCGUAGGCGGCGCGGUAAGUCGGGUGUGAAAUCUCGGAGCUUAACUCCGAAACUGCAUUCGAUACUGCCGUGCUUGAGGACUGGAGAGGAGACUGGAAUUUACGGUGUAGCGGUGAAAUGCGUAGAUAUCGUAAGGAAGACCAGUGGCGAAGGCAGCUCGCUGGGACGGUACUGACGCUGAGACGCGAAAGCGUGGGGAGCAAACAGG